GGGCCGGUGGUCCAGCGGUUACGACGUCGCGCUUACAACGCGAAGAUCGGCGGUUCGACUCCGCCCCGGCCCA
Molecule: transfer RNA, 73 nt
Filed under: mine drainage metagenome
Description: tRNA-Val
Rfam family: tRNA
About the family: Transfer RNA (tRNA) molecules are approximately 80 nucleotides in length.
Source: RNAcentral